Long non-coding RNA from Arabidopsis thaliana (thale cress), 2239 nucleotides. RefSeq annotates it as other RNA. Lineage: Eukaryota; Viridiplantae; Streptophyta; Magnoliopsida; Brassicales; Brassicaceae. The transcript is spliced from 2 exons. The record is from RefSeq.
UAAAAACCGGGACAUUCAGUUAGAGAAAUCUAUUGUAUUGGUUUUUUUCUCUUCGUCUUCCUCCAAGAUCCCUCCUUUAUCGGUUUUCAGCUAACCAGACUCAGAUGCGGCAGUUUGCGGUGGUUUUGUAUCGUCGUAGCAAAAUUAAGCCGGAGAGAAUCUCAGUCAAAGACUCCGAAAGAGAUAAAAGAGGUGAGUUUUUAAGUGAUGUUCAGAUAAACUCUAUGCAAACAAACUUGGAAUGGUUGAAAAAGGAAUCUUGAUGCUUUGUGUGUUUUAGUAGACACAACUGUCUUCAUAGAGUCCUUAUGAAGUGUACAAACUCUUCUAGCGAGUUGUGUGAAGAGCCUCCACUUUUAACAGAGGCUCUAAGUUGCUCUUUUAAACUGAAAGCUCUCUUCCUCAUCUCCUCUCCUUCUUCGUCAACCAUUAACCUCUUCACAGCUCUCUCGACCACUCCUCUGUCUAGCUCACCCUCCACUUGAAUCCCAAUUUUCCAUACACACUCCAAGUAUCUAGCGUUCACCUUUUGAUCACCCGAAAAUGGCCUGCAGAUCAUUGGAACUCCUUGGCCGAUGCUUUCUAGUGUCGAGUUCCAUCCACAAUGGCUCCAAAACCCUCCUACUGCAGGAUGAGAAAGUACUUCCUUCUGUGGAGCCCAUUUCACAAUGUAACCUCGGUCCAAAACCAUCUUACUAAACUCUUCAGGCAUGGACUCUAUCCACUCGGAACCAGGUAUUGACCCUGGUCGGAUCACCCAUAAGAAGUGUUGGUUGCUAGCAGCCAAUCCUGACGCGACUUCCAUUAUCUCGUUGAUUUCCAUUAAAGCUAUGCUUCCCAUGCUUAUGUAUAUCACCGAGUUUACCUUUUGUUUGUUCAACCAUUCGAUGCAGCUCUUGUUCUCUUCAAGCAGACUUGUAGGAGCUGAGGCCACCAUGUGAAGAGGGCCUAUAGGAUACACUGGAAUUUGUAGCUGUUGUUGUUGCAGAAAAGACAGAGAUGAGCUCUCUAGACAGCUCGCAGUGUUGAUUAUCACCGAGGAAGCUGUCCGUUUGUCAACUGUAUUCCUAUACACCUCCAUUAUGCUCUCUAAUGAUGCAAACCGUGAAACUGGAAAGUCUUUAUAUCUCAAGGGAUAAAACUCCGGAACUAGCUCUUCUUGUUGUCCUUUAGUUUCUGCAAAAAAGGUCAAAAACAAUGCUGUUUCAAUCUUAUAGCCACUCGCGGAAACCACGAAACAGAGAGUUUUAGAGUACCUUUCAAGGGAGCUUGGACAUUGUUUGCAUAUAGUUUGUCAAAUACAGAGCGGCAAGCGAAAGCCGUGGCACUUGUUGUGCUGAAAAUGAUGUUUGGAAGCUUACACUCUUUGGCUGCAGCUUCAGCAAAGUACAUGAACUCAUCGUAGAUGACACAUGAGAUCUCAUUACUUUGUUGCAGCACCAACUGACCCAAACAGUCCUUGAAGCUCACCUUACACUCUUUGUUGAGCUUAAACAGAAACUGUAUUGGUCCGAGAUUCUUGAAAUCAGACUCUGGUAAGCUUUCUGGAAUGGUGACGAACUGAAAAUCAUGAGUGAAGUCAUCUGAAGGGCUAAAGUAAUUGAACUUAGUCUGAACAACUGUGAUCGAGAAACCCUUUAAGUGAAGGGUUUUGGCAAGUUGCAUCAUUGGAGAUAUAUGUCCUUGUGCUGGAAAUGGAACCAACACUACGCUUCUCCUUGCAGGCUUUUCCUCCAUUCCCAAAACCUGCAUGAACUACUAAUUAAAAGUAUCCUGCUCAGCUUCGUGGUUCGCGGUUUCGAUCACUUCGGUAACCGAUAUAUAAAGUAUCUGACUCUCGAACGUUUUGUUGGCUCUCUUCGUCACAACAUGUGAAUCAUGUGGUGGAUGGUGUUACAUUUCUUUAUCUUGUUAGAGAGUGGUAACCAAAGAAAAGCAAAAAUGCUAUUGUCUUCUUGGUUCUCUUGCCGCAUUUCGCUUCAUGUCAAAAGAGGCUUCAAACAGAAAAAAUUGUCUUUUUCUGGUGCAGCAAUCUAUAUUGAGAAACGUGCCAAAGGAGAUAAACUCGUGUUUGAUUUGAAUUGCAUCAUAUUUGCAUUACAAAAUAGAACACGUACACUUUACUCUCUAAGUUUGGCAUGUUCCAUACAAUUCAAUGAUAGGAAUAUCAGGUUCUCACACUUGUGUACAUUGAUUCAUUCAUGUUGCGUUUUGUCCCUAACAGUUUAGUUAUUGCGUG